ACCCAAUUGAGUAGAGUAGGUAGAGCCCAGGUUUUGUAAUCUGGUUGCUUUCAGAUCAGCAAGAAUGCUGGUUGAUGCCAAAACAGCUGAAGGAGAGGGACAGAUAGGGUUGGAAUUGAAAGCAGGAGAGAACAACUGAAGCUGGUGAAGUUCAAGCUGGUUCUACAUAGAGCAGAAAACACUGUGUAAAAUGAAAGCAGAUGCAUUCCAAACUCAACCAUGGGAUAAGAAUGGCUAUGAUUACAGGGCAGAAGGAAAAAGCUGCAGGAAGGAAGAUAAAAAUUGCCCUUUAGAGCCACUCCGUUAUUUGAAUUCUUGGAAAUAGGCUUUUUGAAAGUGAAUUAGGCAAAGCUUAUUUCACAACAGGACACAUGAAGCAGGAGUUUCCCAAAAAUUUUAUUGCCUGGAUAUAAUUUCAAAUGACUGAUGCUGUUUGAAAACUGUGAAGCAUAAGCACAAACAUGAAACAUGAAACUUAUAUACAAGUGUAUUCUCCUUCUAAAAACAACAAUUCCUAGAAGAGACAUGAAACUUAAUUGAAGUGAUCUCAAUUGAGGCUUAUCUCCUGAGACGUUUGAAUAUGAGGUUGGACUUGAAGAAUCUAAUCAGUAUUAGCACUGCAACAAAUUUUUCUGUUAUCCCUUGAUGGGAAAGAUACGAACACCUCAGAUUCAUGUUAUUCUGCUGUAGAGAGGAUUCCCACUUGUUGGUUGAUUGGAAAUGUGGCCUGAAAAUACAGAAGCCCAACAUCUGGAUGCAAAAAGAUUCCUCAUCAAAUCCACCUCAUCAUACAGGCUCCCUGUUAAUUAUUGAUCCAAGCCUGAGCUAAAAUUGCAAGAAUGACUUCAAAAUUGUAUUUUUUGAAGACCUUUUGUUUUCUAGCCACAAUUGUUUAAAGCUGACAAAUCUAACUAAAGCUUUCUUGAAGAUUGAUACAAAUGCAUUUCCUCUGAAAUGAGUAUUGGGAGUUGGAUAGUAUACAAAUUUAAUAAAUAGAUUUCAUGUGUU
Non-coding RNA from Pantherophis guttatus, 1008 nucleotides. NCBI's taxonomy places the organism in Eukaryota, Metazoa, Chordata, Lepidosauria, Squamata, Colubridae. The record is from RefSeq and is a predicted model, not a curated record.